RNAcentral lists this ribosomal RNA (465 nucleotides) under uncultured Klebsiella sp. RNAcentral describes it as "bacterial SSU rRNA". It matches the Rfam family "Bacterial small subunit ribosomal RNA", at positions 338 to 795 of the family's 1533-position model. Lineage: Bacteria; Pseudomonadati; Pseudomonadota; Gammaproteobacteria; Enterobacterales; Enterobacteriaceae. The record is from RNAcentral.
CCUACGGGAGGCUGCAGUGGGGAAUAUUGCACAAUGGGCGCAAGCCUGAUGCAGCCAUGCCGCGUGUGUGAAGAAGGCCUUCGGGUUGUAAAGCACUUUCAGCGGGGAGGAAGGCGUUAAGGUUAAUAACCUUGUCGAUUGACGUUACCCGCAGAAGAAGCACCGGCUAACUCCGUGCCAGCAGCCGCGGUAAUACGGAGGGUGCAAGCGUUAAUCGGAAUUACUGGGCAUAAAGCGCACGCAGGCGGUCUGUCAAGUCGGAUGUGAAAUCCCCGGGCUCAACCUGGGAACUGCAUUCGAAACUGGCAGGCUAGAGUCGUGUAGAGGGGGGUAGAAUUCCAGGUGUAGCGGUGAAAUGCGUAGAGAUCUGGAGGAAUACCGGUGGCGAAGGCGGCCCCCUGGACAAAGACUGACGCUCAGGUGCGAAAGCGUGGGGAGCAAACAGGAUUAGAUACCCCAGUAGUC